RNAcentral lists this ribosomal RNA (736 nucleotides) under uncultured bacterium. RNAcentral describes it as "bacterial SSU rRNA". It matches the Rfam family "Bacterial small subunit ribosomal RNA", at positions 8 to 760 of the family's 1533-position model. The record is from RNAcentral.
AGAGUUUGAUCAUGGCUCAGGACGAACGCUGGCGGCGUGCUUAACACAUGCAAGUCGAACGAUGAACCACUUCGGUGGGGAUUAGUGGCGAACGGGUGAGUAACACGUGGGCAAUCUGCCCUGCACUCUGGGACAAGCCCUGGAAACGGGGUCUAAUACCGGAUACUGACCCUCGCAGGCAUCUGCGAGGUUCGAAAGCUCCGGCGGUGCAGGAUGAGCCCGCGGCCCAUCAGCUUGUUGGUGAGGUAAUGGCUCACCAAGGCGACGACGGGUAGCCGGCCUGAGAGGGCGACCGGCCACACUGGGACUGAGACACGGCCCAGACUCCUACGGGAGGCAGCAGUGGGGAAUAUUGCACAAUGGGCGAAAGCCUGAUGCAGCGACGCCGCGUGAGGGAUGACGGCCUUCGGGUUGUAAACCUCUUUCAGCAGGGAAGAAGCGAAAGUGACGGUACCUGCAGAAGAAGCGCCGGCUAACUACGUGCCAGCAGCCGCGGUAAUACGUAGGGCGCAAGCGUUGUCCGGAAUUAUUGGGCGUAAAGAGCUCGUAGGCGGCUUGUCGCGUCGGUUGUGAAAGCCCGGGGCUUAACCCCGGGUCUGCAGUCGAUACGGGCAGGCUAGAGUUCGGUAGGGGAGAUCGGAAUUCCUGGUGUAGCGGUGAAAUGCGCAGAUAUCAGGAGGAACACCGGUGGCGAAGGCGGAUCUCUGGGCCGAUACUGACGCUGAGGAGCGAAAGC